This 253-nucleotide ribosomal RNA is filed under the name Klebsiella pneumoniae. RNAcentral's name for it is "partial 16S ribosomal RNA". It matches the Rfam family "Bacterial small subunit ribosomal RNA", at positions 413 to 658 of the family's 1533-position model. Lineage: Bacteria; Pseudomonadati; Pseudomonadota; Gammaproteobacteria; Enterobacterales; Enterobacteriaceae. The record is from RNAcentral.
GGCCUUCGGGUUGUAUUUCACUUUCAGCGUGGACGAAUGCGUUAAGGUUAAUCACCUUGGCGACUGUCGUUACCCGCAGAAGAUGCUCUGGCUUACCCCGUGCCUCUUGCCGCGGUUUUACGGUGUGGGCAAUCGUUAAUCGGUUUCACUUGGCGUAAAGUGCUCUCUGGCUGUCUGUCAUCUCCUAUGACUAUUCCCAGGGCUCAAUCUGGGGAUUGCAUUUGUAAGUGGCAGUUUAGUGUACAGUUGUGGA